UUKGGAGGGCAAGUCUUGGUGCRAGCAGCYGCGGUUAAUUCCAGCUCCAAUAGCGUAUAUUAAAGUUGUKKCAGUUAAAAAGCUCGUAGUUUGAACUUCGGGACYGGWGGGUUGGUCGUWCCUCCGRUACGUACUGGUCUUACUGKUUCSUCCYUUSUGAAGAACCACGAUGUCAUUAAUUUGGUGUCGUGGGGAWUCAGGACUGUUACUUUGAAAAAAUUAGAGUGUUUAAAGCAGGCUAAAGCUUGAAUAGAUUAGCAUGGAAUAACGAAAUAGGACGUUUGAUCUUAUUUUGUUGGUUWCUAAGAUCGACGUAAUGAUUAAUAGGGAUAGUUGGGGGCAUUAGUAUUCAAUUGUCAGAGGUGAAAUUCUUGGAUUUAUUGAAGACUAACURCUGCGAAAGKAUUUGCCAAGGAUGUUUUCAUUAAUCAAGAACGAAAGUUAGGGGAUCGAAGACGAUCAGAUACCGUCGUAGUCUUAACCAUAAACUAUGCCGWCUAGGGAUCGGAUGAUGUUAAUUUUUUAAUGAC
Molecule: ribosomal RNA, 530 nt
Filed under: uncultured Glomeromycotina
Lineage: Eukaryota; Fungi; Glomeromycota
Description: partial 18S small subunit ribosomal RNA
Rfam family: Eukaryotic small subunit ribosomal RNA
Source: RNAcentral